UCAAGUUAUUAAGGGUGCAGGGCGGAUGCCUUGGCACUAGGAGCCGAUGAAGGACGUGAUAAGCUGCGAUAAGCUUCGGGGAGUUGCACGUAAACUUUGAUCCGAAGAUUUCCGAAUGAGGAAACUCACUUAGAGUAAUGUCUAAGUAUCAUUAAGUGAAUACAUAGCUUAAUGAGGGGAACUCAGGGAACUGAAACAUCUAAGUACCUGAAGGAAGAGAAAGAAAUUCGAUUCCGUAAGUAGCGGCGAGCGAACGCGGAUUAGCCCAAACCAAUAAAGUUUUCUUUAUUGGGGUUGCGGACAUAUCAUAACGGAGAGGUAUCGUAAUUGAAGAGGUUUGGAAAGACCCACCACAGAAGGUAAUAGUCCUGUAUGUUAAACGAGAAGACUUUAGAUAUGAUCCAGAGUACCACGGGACACGUGAAACCCUGUGGGAAGCAGGAGGGACCACCCUCCAAGGCUAAAUACUACCUAGUGACCGAUAGCGUAUAGUACCGUGAGGGAAAGGUGAAAAGAACCCCGGGAGGGGAGUGAAAUAGAACCUGAAACCCUGCACUUACAAGCUGUGGAAGCACAUUUCUUGUGUGACCGCGUACUUUUUGUAGAACGGGCCAACGAGUUACGUUAAGUAGCAAGGUUAAGCACUUAAGGUGCGGAGCCGUAGCGAAAGCGAGUUUUAACUGAGCGUUCAGUUACUUGACGUAGACCCGAAACCGGGCGACCUACCCAUGAGCAGGAUGAAGCGAAAGUAAAAUUUCGUGGAGGUCCGAACCCACGAGCGUUGAAAAGCUCGGGGAUGACUUGUGGGUAGCGGUGAAAUUCCAAUCGAGCCCGGAGAUAGCUGGUUCUCCCCGAAAUAGCUUUAGGGCUAGCCUCAAGGUGAGAGAUACGGAGGUAGAGCACUGAAUGUCCUAGGGGGUAUUGCACCUACCGAAGACUAUCAAACUCCGAAUGCCGUCAUCUUAUACUUGGGAGUCAGACUGUGGGUGAUAAGAUUCAUAGUCGAAAGGGCAACAGCCCAGAUCGUCAGCUAAGGUCCCUAAAUGUAAGUUAAGUGGUAAAGGAUGUGGGAUUGCACAGACAACCAGGAUGUUGGCUUAGAAGCAGCCACUCAUUCAAAGAGUGCGUAAUAGCUCACUGGUCGAGUGAUCCUGCGCCGAAGAUUUCCGGGGCUAAAACUUACUACCGAAGCUACGGCAUCAGUAAUGAUGGGUAGGGGAGCUUCCCAUACGGGUUGAAGCAUGACCGUAAGGACAUGUGGACAGUAUGGGAGUGAGAAUGUUGGCAUGAGUAGCGAGAUGUGGGUGAGAAUCCCACAGGCCGUAAACCCAAGGUUUCCAGGGGAAGGUUCGUCCGCCCUGGGUUAGUCGGGACCUAAGCUGAGGCCGAAAGGCGUAGGUGAUGGACAACAGGUUGAUAUUCCUGUACUACCGAUAAUCGUUUGAGAGAAGGGAUGACACAGUAGGAUAAGCUAAGCACACUGUUGGUUAUGUGUGCCCAAGCAUUGAGGCAGUCAAAGUAGGCAAAUCCGCUUUGAUAAUGCUGGGAUGUGAUGGGGAGCGAAAUUUAGUAGCGAAGUAGCUGAUUUCACACUGUCAAGAAAAGUCUCUAUCGAGGUUAAAGGUACCCGUACCGUAAACCGACACAGGUGGGUGAGGAGAGUAUCCUAAGGCCAGCGAGAGAACUGUUGUUAAGGAACUCGGCAAAAUGACCCCGUAACUUAGGGAUAAGGGGUGCCACCAUCAGGUGGCCGCAGAGAAUAGGCCCAAGCGACUGUUUACCAAAAACAUAGGUUUCUGCUAAGUCGCAAGACGAUGUAUAGGAGCUGACGCCUGCCCGGUGCUGGAAGGUUAAGGGGAUCUGUUAGAGCAAUCGAAGCAGUGAACUUAAGCCCCAGUAAACGGCGGCCGUAACUAUAACGGUCCUAAGGUAGCGAAAUUCCUUGUCGGGUAAGUUCCGACCCGCACGAAAGGCGUAACGAUUUGGGCACUGUCUCAACAACAGACUCGGUGAAAUUGUAAUUCCGGUGAAGAUGCCGGAUACCUGCGACAGGACGGAAAGACCCCAUGGAGCUUUACUGUAGCUUGACAUUGGGUCUUGGUACUACAUGUACAGGAUAGGUGGGAGGCUUUGAAACCAGGACGCCAGUUUUGGCGGAGCCAUCCUUGGGAUACCACCCUUGUAGUACUGGGACUCUAACCAUAGGCCAUGAAUCUGGUCUUGGGACACUGUCAGGUGGGCAGUUUGACUGGGGCGGUCGCCUCCCAAAAGGUAACGGAGGCGCUCAAAGGUUCUCUCAGUACGGUCGGAAAUCGUACGUAGAGUGUAAAGGCAAAAGAGAGCUUGAUUGCAAGACAUACAGGUCGAGCAAGGAUGAAAAUCGGACUUAGUGAUCCGGUGGUUCUGCGUGGAAGGGCCAUCGCUCAACGGAUAAAAGCUACCCUGGGGAUAACAGGCUUAUCUCCCCCAAGAGUCCACAUCGACGGGGAGGUUUGGCACCUCGAUGUCGGCUCAUCACAUCCUGGGGCUGUAGUAGGUCCCAAGGGUUGGGCUGUUCGCCCAUUAAAGUGGUACGCGAGCUGGGUUCAGAACGUCGUGAGACAGUUCGGUCCCUAUCCGUCGCAGGCGUAGGAAAUUUGAGAAGACCUGUCCUUAGUACGAGAGGACCGGGAUGGACGUACCUCUGGUGUACCAGUUGUUCUGCCAAGGGCAUGGCUGGGUAGCUAUGUACGGAAUGGAUAAGCGCUGAAAGCAUCUAAGCGCGAAGCCAACUUCAAGAUAAGAUUUCCCACCGCAAGGGUAAGACCCCAGAAAGACUAUCUGGUUGAUAGGUCGAAGGUGUAAGUGCAGCAAUGUAUUUAGCUUAUCGAUACUAAUAGGUCGAGGACUUGACCAA
This 2896-nucleotide ribosomal RNA is filed under the name Clostridioides difficile. RNAcentral's name for it is "bacterial LSU rRNA". It matches the Rfam family "Bacterial large subunit ribosomal RNA". The record is from RNAcentral. Lineage: Bacteria; Bacillati; Bacillota; Clostridia; Peptostreptococcales; Peptostreptococcaceae.